This 354-nucleotide unclassified non-coding RNA is filed under the name soil metagenome. Its description in RNAcentral is "partial contains 5.8S ribosomal RNA, internal transcribed spacer 2, and large subunit ribosomal RNA". The stretch from base 1 to 120 matches the Rfam family "5.8S ribosomal RNA", at positions 35 to 154 of the family's 154-position model. The record is from RNAcentral.
GAUGAAGAACGUAGUGAAAUGCGAUAAGUAGUGUGAAUUGCAGAAUUCAGUGAAUCAUCGAAUCUUUGAACGCACAUUGCGCCUUCUAGUAUUCUGGGAGGCAUGCCUGUUUGAGCGCCAUUAAACCUCUCUCAAGUAUGAUUACUUGGAUGUGAAGGAAGAGUACCUUAAACUUAAGGAGUGUUCUCCUUUGAAAUUGAUUAGCAGAUGGUAAUGUUAUUAAAUCCCUGAUGUUGUAAGAAAUAACAGUGGUUUUGUAGACUAUUAUCUAGCUUUAAAUUAUAAUUUUUAUUAUGGUUGACCUCAAAUCAGGUAAGGAUACCCGCUGAACUUAAGCAUAUCAUAAGCGGAGGA